UAUGACGCGUAAUUUGCAACAGCAUCCUAGGUUGUAACGCGCUGGCCAAUCAGAGUACGCUCUUUGAAUUUACAAUCGCGCGCCAGGCCUGACGACCGUUGACCUUGCUUCGCCAACCGCCAUGACAGUACUGCUGCAUGUGUCAUGUGUGUUCCAGCAACGUGCAAUCGCCGUCGUUUUACUGAAAUAUCAGACCAAUGGGCUCAUGACCAAGUGAUUGAAGACAGUUCAUCAAUGAUGGCCAGAGUCAGAGUGGAACCUGAAGACAGCAGGUGACGGGACAAAUAUGUCUUUUCAAUUAAAACAGCGAGUAUCCAAGAAACUUCAGAAUGGCAAGGUGAUGGAUGUUGCUUGGUUGCUGAUUGUUGCAUCUCCUGCCAAGUUUGCGCCAGAAAGGAGACGUGAUGGAGGGACACGCCUGGGACCCAUUCACCUUCAUCUUAAGUCUUACCGUUGUACGGUCAUUACUUAAAAUACAACAGUAUCAAAUAUUUUAAUACACAUAUCUGAAUAAUUGAUCAAUGUUCUCUUCUUGGGUGACUGUUAUUUUUCCAUAAGUGUUCAACAGGGAAAGGUUCUCAAGUUAUGGAAACUCAACUACUGUCUUUAAAGGGAAUAUACA
This is a long non-coding RNA of Patiria miniata (bat star), 622 nucleotides long. RefSeq lists it as uncharacterized. The record is from RefSeq and is a predicted model, not a curated record. NCBI's taxonomy places the organism in Eukaryota, Metazoa, Echinodermata, Asteroidea, Valvatida, Asterinidae. The transcript is spliced from 3 exons.